CCUACGGGUGGCAGCAGUGGGGAAUAUUGCACAAUGGGGGAAACCCUGAUGCAGCGACGCCGCGUGAGUGAAGAAGUAUCUCGGUAUGUAAAGCUCUAUCAGCAGGGAAGAAAAUGACGGUACCUGACUAAGAAGCCCCGGCUAACUACGUGCCAGCAGCCGCGGUAAUACGUAGGGGGCAAGCGUUAUCCGGAUUUACUGGGUGUAAAGGGAGCGUAGACGGUCCUGCAAGCCAGGUGUGAAAGCCCGGGGCUUAACCACGGGACUGCCGUUGAAACUGUAAGGCUAGAGUGUCGGAGGGGCAGGCGGAAUUCCUAGUGUAGCGGUGAAAUGCGUAGAUAUUAGGAGGAACACCGGCGGCGAAGGCGGCCUGCUGGACGAUGACUGACGUUGAGGCUCGAAAGCGUGGGGAGCAAACAGGAUUAGAUACCCGAGUAGUC
RNAcentral lists this ribosomal RNA (440 nucleotides) under uncultured bacterium. Its description in RNAcentral is "partial 16S ribosomal RNA". It matches the Rfam family "Bacterial small subunit ribosomal RNA", at positions 338 to 795 of the family's 1533-position model. The record is from RNAcentral.